GAUUGGAUGAUGUACUUUGAUUAACUCAUAAAUCGCAAUGCUCUGAGCGACACAUUUGUUUUGGUUGUUUUUUUAGUCUGAACAUC
This 86-nucleotide small nucleolar RNA is filed under the name Oryza sativa (Asian cultivated rice). RNAcentral's name for it is "Z166 small nucleolar RNA". The stretch from base 1 to 51 matches the Rfam family "Small nucleolar RNA Z169", at positions 20 to 69 of the family's 69-position model. Rfam says of the family: Z169 is a member of the C/D class of snoRNA which contain the C (UGAUGA) and D (CUGA) box motifs. Most of the members of the box C/D family function in directing site-specific 2'-O-methylation of substrate RNAs. The record is from RNAcentral. Lineage: Eukaryota; Viridiplantae; Streptophyta; Magnoliopsida; Poales; Poaceae.